UGCUGAAUGUGUGGUUGGAAACUUUGUGAAAACAAAGGCAUGCCGACUAAGCGAUUGAUUUUAAACAAUUUCCACGUUCUUGCAUUAAUAGGCUCAUAACCUGAAGGUCGUCAGUUCAAAUCUGACUCCCGCAACCA
Molecule: transfer RNA, 137 nt
Filed under: Octadecabacter arcticus 238
Lineage: Bacteria; Pseudomonadati; Pseudomonadota; Alphaproteobacteria; Rhodobacterales; Roseobacteraceae
Description: tRNA-Leu (CAA) (tRNA-Leu-CAA-2-1)
Source: RNAcentral